CUGUUAGGAAACAGUCCCUUGAGCCACUUGUUCAUGCAUCCAUUGUUCAAAUAUUCUGUAUCCAGGGUGAUCCAGGAAGUGUGUACAAUGCCAGGCAACAAUGGCGAGAAAAUGAGCAUCAAAGAGCAAAACAAACCUGGGCCCUGCUCUCCAGGAUUACACAGCAUCAUGGGGAAGAGAGAGAUUUCUCAAACAGUUUCAACCCAGAUGAAAGCAGGAAAGACAUCAGCUAUGGAGAGUGGCUGCAUAGAGGACACAAACCCUUGAGGGAACAGGUCACUGUCACUUUUCUAAGGAAGUGGCACUUAGUGAUCUGUGAAAGCUGAAGAGGGUUGCAUUUGGUUUUCAUGGCUCCACGGCACCUGAAUAUAGACCACGCCUGGGUUCAGGCCAUUGAAAGGUGAAGAAAAGUGGACUUGUGUCUCUUCCCAGGUCCUGAGUUGCAAUAUUGUGAAUAAUUUGGGAUUUAAGCAAUGGACUUGAAAGGAACUUGAAAAUCUGUCCAAGAGAACCUGCUCGAAGAGGAAAACCACCUGCCCCAUCUCUUCAACCAGCACCACUGAGAAGGAUCUUGAAAGCAGCAACCCGUGGGCUUCGGAGUAAGAGGGAGUCCAGCCCUCAUCAUAUCCAUCCAACCUACGGCAGCUGUAGCUUUACAAAAAUGUAUUUCUUCAAUAAGAAGACCUCAACGCUGAAAUGACUCCUUGAUCCACGGGGCUGCAGAAUGGAUGUUGUGUUGGCCGGCAUGAAAACAAUAUUAAUCUCAUUGCACAUCUCCAUCAGAGCUCUUAGAUGGCUGGAUGCAUUGUCAUUGAGCAGUCACCAUUAUAGAAGAAAUCUUUUUUUUUUUUUUUUUUUAUUUUG
Molecule: non-coding RNA, 864 nt
Organism: Oryctolagus cuniculus (rabbit)
Lineage: Eukaryota; Metazoa; Chordata; Mammalia; Lagomorpha; Leporidae
Source: RefSeq, a predicted model, not a curated record